GAAGUAUUUGGUUAAUCUUUGGACAGAAAAUGCAUUUCAGGAGAGAAGCAACAAAAAUAAGACAAAUAGAUGCAAGCGUUCUAUGCCGCCAUACACGGGGACAAAAAGCUUUGCUCGGCUGAGAGAUCAUAUGAAGAAAAAAAAUGGAAAAACACCUUCUCGCUUAGAGCUUUUUCUUGAAUCCAGAAAGAGAAA
Molecule: long non-coding RNA, 195 nt
Organism: Manihot esculenta (cassava)
Lineage: Eukaryota; Viridiplantae; Streptophyta; Magnoliopsida; Malpighiales; Euphorbiaceae
Exons: 3
Source: RefSeq, a predicted model, not a curated record